This 1961-nucleotide long non-coding RNA is filed under the name Marmota monax (woodchuck). Lineage: Eukaryota; Metazoa; Chordata; Mammalia; Rodentia; Sciuridae. The record is from RNAcentral.
CUGGGGGUAUUUAACAGCUGACGGCCAUGAAAGAAGAAUGAUUGAAAUGGAACCCCUGGGUAGAUAAAUGACAGCUAAAUAGAUGGACAGGAAAAUGUCUAAGGAUAAGGAAAAAAGAAGACAUUAAAAUACAACAAAGAGGGGCUGGGGAUGUGGCUCAAGUGGUAGCGCGCUCGCCUGGCAUGCUUGCGGCCCGGGUUCGAUCCUCAGCACCACAUACAAACAAAGAUGUUGUGUCUGCCGAAAAAACUAAAAAAUAAAUAUUAAAAAAUUAAAAUAAAAUAAAAAUAAAAUACAACAAAGAACAAGAACCUCAGGGACUGUUAAGAGAGAAAAGAAGACCAAAAAAUGUACUUGAUUUCCAAGUUUGAUGAACCUCACAAACACGAGAUGCUAGACUCACAGCAAGCACAGUGAACGCAGAGACACCCCUAGGCACCCGCUGCUGCAAGCCAGGAGAGGGACAGCCUCAGCCUCAGGAGCACAAGGACUUGAGCUGUGGCCGACUUAGAAACUAUGGAGCCAGAAAACAGUGGGACAACACUUUUAAACUGCUGAGGGAAAAAAACUAUUAAUCAGAAAUUCUGCAUCCAGAAAAAUGUGAUUCAGGGAUGAAAACAAAGACAUUUUCAGAUAAAAGUAAGAGAAUUCCUGACCCUCAGAAACGCUAAGGGGAAUCUGCAGGCGGAGGGACAAGACAUCAGAGGAACCCCAGGCAUCGCCCUUGAAAGACACAAUUGCCAAAUUUAUCUAAGAAAAAUAUAAACUUUGAACAAUCUUAAAUUGAAUUUAUUAGGAAAAAAUAAAUAAAAAAAGAACAGUGCUUCCCAUAAAGCAAACUCCAGACUGACGGGGCUUCAGAAGUAAAGGCUGCCUGUGCUAUGGGAAGAAAUAGCUCAGUCCUACACUGACUCUUUCAGGAAGUAGAGGCAACACUUCCAAUGAGCUUUAUGAGGCUUUAUCAUCCUGACUACAAACCAGGCAAAGACCACUCAAGAAAAAGGAACCACGGACCCACAUCCUCAAGAUGAUAGACACAAAAAUCCUUAACAAAAUAUUAACAAAUCAAACAAUAUAGAAAAGCAGCAGGAGCAAAUAGGGCAUAUCUUCAGAAUAUAUGGUGAGUUUAAAAAAUGAAUAUGAUUCACCGUAUUGAUGCAAUAAAGAGAAAGCUAUAUGAUAAUCUCAGCAGAUAAAGGAAAAAGCAUUUGACAAAAUUCAACACCCCCUCCCUUCUUGGAAAAAACUCUCAGAAACCUAGAAAUACAAGUCAAAACCUAAUUAAGAGCUUCUUAACACACACAUCUUACACCUGAUGUCACACUCAGUGCUAGGGUGCGUGGCCAGCAACAAGGCCAGGGUACCUUCUCUCACUGCAUCUUACCAUGCAUCUUACCAUGGCCAGAAAUAGAAGUAAAAGACACACGCAUUAGGCAAGAAGUAAAAGUGUCCUUUAUGCAGAUGCCAACUCUGUCCAAAACCCCAGGGUCUGUUCAAACACCACUAGAACUAGCAGGUGACUGUUACAAGGUUGCAGGACGCAAAGUUAACAGGUGAAAGUCAAUUGCACUUCUGUAUCCUGACAAUGAACAGUUACACAUUCUAUUAAAAAUUAUUUCACUUUUAAAACAUCGGAAAACACCCAGGGAUUUAUUUAAUGAAAGAUGUGGAAGACCUAUACAAUAAAACCUUGACAAAAGGAAACUUUAAGAAGACCUAACUCAGUGGAAAGACACACCAUGCCUGCGUUCUGGAAGAUUUCAUAUCCUCAAGAUAUCAGGGUAAGUUCAUCUCUAGAGUCUAUGUAAUUCCAAUUAAAAUGUUAAUAGUCUUUGCACAAAGACUUUGAAAAGCUGAUUUUAAAUGUACAUGAAAAGGUAAGAGAGCCAGACUACCAAAACAAUUUGAAGAAGAACAACUUGAUCUGAAGAUUCACCAUAAAGCUUCAGUUAUCAACACAG